GUUACCUUCUUCGUUGUUCUUCCCCCCUCCUCCGUCCCCGAUGCCUGCGUUUUGGGGACCUCCUCCGCCUCCCGCCUCCUCGUUGUUGCCUCGAUCCUGAGCGUCUCGGCCGUAUGGCGGCGAAGAAGGCGGCGGAGUCCGUCCCCAAGGCGCUGGCCGAGGAGGUGCGGCGCUGGGGAGCCAUGAAGCGCAACGGGGUGAGCCUCCGCUACAUGAUGGAGUUCGGCGCCCGCCCCACCCCGACGAACCUCCUCCUCUCCGCCCAGUUCCUCCACAAGGAGCUCUCCGCACGCAUCGCCAGGAGGGCCAUUGAGCUGGAGUCCCUGCCCCUUGGCUUGUCCGGCAAACCGGCCGUCUUGAAGGUCAGAGAUUGGUAUCUAGAUUCUUUUCGUGAUCUUCGAUCCUUUCCAAAAAUCAAAGACCCACAUGAUGAAUUAUCUUUCACUCAGUUGAUCAAGAUGAUCAAGUUGAGGCAUAACAACGUGGUACCAGCAAUGGCUUUAGGUGUACAGCAGCUAAAGAGAGACAUGAAUCGCAAGCUCGUGCCAAAAGAACUUGAAGAGAUUCAUCAAUUUCUCGACCGUUUUUACAUGUCAAGAAUUGGGAUUCGUAUGCUUAUAGGGCAGCAUGUAGCUUUGCACGAUCCUGAUCCAGAACCAGGAUGUGUUGGUCAAAUAAACACUAAACUUUCUCCAAUGCAAGUGGCCCGAACUGCUAGCGACGAUGCCCGCAGUAUAUGUUUCCGGGAGUACGGGAGUGCUCCUGAGGUUGACAUAUAUGGCGAUCCAAAUUUCACCUUUCCGUACGUUCCAUCACAUUUGCAUCUUAUGCUCUUUGAGUUGGUGAAGAACUCUCUGCGUGCAGUACAAGAGCGUUUCAUGGAUUCUGACAAGGAUGCCCCUCCUGUUAGAAUUAUUGUUGCUGACGGGAUAGAGGAUGUUACAAUAAAGAUAUCGGAUGAAGGGGGUGGUAUACCAAGAAGUGGCCUUGCAAAGAUUUUCACUUAUGUCUAUAGCACCGCAAAAAAUCCACUAGAUGAAGACUAUUGUGGAGUCUCGAAUGGAGUAACUAUGGCUGGUUACGGUUAUGGGCUUCCAAUUAGUCGUCUCUAUGCUCGAUAUUUUGGUGGUGAUUUGCAAAUAAUCUCUAUGGAAGGAUAUGGUUCAACACCUUUGGAUGUAGGAUCUGUGUUUGGCCUGGGUCAAGAGAUAAGUUGUGUUUUGAGUUACACUGAGGUACCUACACAGAAAAGAAGGCUGCUACAGAUUUUACAAAUUCCUUGUUAAUAAUCACUGAACCGAUGCUUACCUUCAUCUGUCUCGACUCGGAGACUCACAAGAACCCCUCCCCUAAGAUGAUGGGCUGGAUGGGGAAGGAAAGAGAACAGUUUGUGGAUAAAACCUCAUCCAUGCUUCAUGUAUGUUGUGAGUUCUUAGGAUUGGGUGUUUCAUGCUUUCUUCUUCUCUUUUCUUCAAGCGAGUGCCAACAUGAAAGGUCUGGACAUGAUUUCAAGAUAGACUCAAACGUGGAAAUCAGAAAAUUAUGGUCAAGUUCAUAUUGCAUGUAUCUUUCAGCUCAUUCGUGACAGCACAAAUCUUUGACAUGGAAAGAUGGAAGCAUCUUGGAUGAUGGGUAGAUCCGAGUGAGGCCUCUCAGAGACGCUUUGUAAUGUCUUGCCAUCCUCGUUAAGGAACCGUGCUUGAUGCAGCCAAAUAUGUGUUCAUCAGGGGUGUUGGGAAUCUUUUUGGAUGUGGCCGACGAUUAAAGUGAGUCCGUGUUCUCUUUUAUGCUUUUUAGCAAAGUAAGAAAAGUACGAUCCAAUGCAUCAUCAGACUUCCACCACCAACACAACUUGUUCGAUGAAUCCAUGUAUGAUAUAUUGUCUGUAGAAAAAAAUAUUACUUGUUCUUUUCUUGGACAUCAUGUAUUUUGUAUGACUUGGGUUGAUAAAUCCCAUGAAAAAUUACAAUGGA
This is an RNA transcript of Musa acuminata subsp. malaccensis (wild Malaysian banana), 1973 nucleotides long. It is a transcript of the gene named pyruvate dehydrogenase (acetyl-transferring) kinase, mitochondrial, with no coding region annotated. Lineage: Eukaryota; Viridiplantae; Streptophyta; Magnoliopsida; Zingiberales; Musaceae. The record is from RefSeq and is a predicted model, not a curated record.